GUAAGGAAUAUUGGUCAAUGGGCGGAAGCCUGAACCAGCCAUGCCGCGUGCAGGAAGACGGCCCUACGGGUUGUAAACUGCUUUUGUACCGGAAUAAACCCUGAUAUGUAUAUCAGGCUGAAUGUACGGUAAGAAUAAGGAUCGGCUAACUCCGUGCCAGCAGCCGCGGUAAUACGGAGGAUCCGAGCGUUAUCCGGAUUUAUUGGGUUUAAAGGGUGCGUAGGCGGCUUUUUAAGUCAGGGGUGAAAGACGGUAGCUCAACUAUCGCAGUGCCCUUGAUACUGAAGAGCUUGAAUGUACUUGAGGUAGGCGGAAUGUGACAAGUAGCGGUGAAAUGCAUAGAUAUGUCACAGAACACCAAUUGCGAAGGCAGCUUACUAAAGUAUGAUUGACGCUGAGGCACGAAAGCGUGGGGAUCAAAC
RNAcentral lists this ribosomal RNA (422 nucleotides) under uncultured bacterium. Its description in RNAcentral is "bacterial SSU rRNA". It matches the Rfam family "Bacterial small subunit ribosomal RNA", at positions 354 to 773 of the family's 1533-position model. The record is from RNAcentral.